AGCGAACGCUGGCGGCAGGCCUAACACAUGCAAGUCGAACGAACUCUUCGGAGUUAGUGGCGGACGGGUGUGUAACACGUGGGAACGUGCCUUUUGGUUCGGAAUAACUCAGGGAAACUUGUGCUAAUACCGAAUGUGCCCUUCGGGGGAAAGAUUUAUCGCCAUUAGAGCGGCCCGCGUCUGAUUAGCUAGUUGGGGAGGUAACGGCUCACCAAGGCGAGGAUCAGUAGCUGGUCUGGGAGGAUGAGCAGCCAAACUCGGACUGAGACACGGCCCAGACAUCCUCCGGGAGGGACGGAGGGGGAAUGUUGGGAAUGGGGGAAAAGCAUGAAGCGCCCAUGCCGGGAAAAUGAGGAAGGUUUUAGGAUUGAAAAUUUCUUUCACCGGGGACAAUAAUGACGGUACCCGGAGAAAAAGCCCCGGCUAACUUCGU
This 433-nucleotide ribosomal RNA is filed under the name uncultured bacterium. RNAcentral's name for it is "partial 16S ribosomal RNA". It matches the Rfam family "Bacterial small subunit ribosomal RNA", at positions 29 to 506 of the family's 1533-position model. The record is from RNAcentral.